AAGUCGUAACAAGGUUUCCGUAGGUGAACCUGCGGAAGGAUCAUUAAAAAAAUCUUUAAUAUGGAGAACCGCAAGGUUCUCUAACUAUUUUGUGAAAUGUGUAAUAGUACUGUGUGUGGUUUGUGCGUAUAUGUGCUGGUCUGUUUAAGGGUGUUAAAGCUCUUUUACGCGACCACACAAAUACAUUGCAUAACUCUCUCACUGUACUAUUUAUUUUAAUACAUGUUAUAUAUUGAUGAAGUAUGUAAAUAUAGUAUUAAAGGUGGUGUAAUAACCCUUUUAACAUGAUAUAAUAUAUAUACAACUUUCAACAGUGGAUCUCUCGGCUCUU
This 331-nucleotide unclassified non-coding RNA is filed under the name fungal sp. Its description in RNAcentral is "partial internal transcribed spacer region". The stretch from base 1 to 46 matches the Rfam family "Eukaryotic small subunit ribosomal RNA", at positions 1786 to 1831 of the family's 1831-position model. Lineage: Eukaryota; Fungi. The record is from RNAcentral.